Molecule: ribosomal RNA, 253 nt
Filed under: uncultured bacterium
Lineage: Bacteria
Description: partial 16S ribosomal RNA
Rfam family: Bacterial small subunit ribosomal RNA
Source: RNAcentral
UACGGAGGGGGCAAGCGUUAUUCGGAAUUAUUGGGCGUAAAGGGCGCGUAGGCGGCUAGAUGUGUCAAAGGUGAAAUCCCUCGGCUCAACUGAGGAACUGCCUUUGAAACUGUCUGGCUUGAGGCCGGGAGAGGGUAGCGGAAUUCCCAGUGUAGCGGUGAAAUGCGUAGAUAUUGGGAGGAACACCGGUGGCGAAGGCGGCCUUCUGGACGGAUACUGACGCUGAUACGCGAAAGCGUGGGGAGCAAACAGG